RNAcentral lists this ribosomal RNA (429 nucleotides) under uncultured archaeon. RNAcentral's name for it is "bacterial SSU rRNA". It matches the Rfam family "Archaeal small subunit ribosomal RNA", at positions 474 to 903 of the family's 1478-position model. The record is from RNAcentral.
CACGUACUCCGCAAGUGGUGUUCUCUAAUAUUGGGCCUAAAACGUUUGUAGCCGGUUAGGUAAGUCCUCGGUGAAAGCGGCAGGCUUAACCUGUCGAAUUGCCAAGGAUACUGCCCAACUCGAGACCGGGAGGCGUGAGAGGAAUUUCGGGGGUAGCGGUGAAAUGCUAUGAUCCUCGAAGGACCACCAGUAGCGAAGGCGUCUCACGAGAACGGGUUCUGACGGUGAGAGACGAAAGCUGGGGGAGCGACCCGGAUUAGAUACCCGGUUAGUCCCAGCCGUAAACGAUGUUGACUAGGUGUUCCAUUACCUUGAGUAUUGGAGUGCCACAACGAAGGCGUUAAGUCAACUGCCUGGGGAGUAAGGUCGCAAGGCCGAAACUUAAUGGAAUUGGCGGGGGCGCACUACAAGGGGUGGAUGCUGCGGUUU